CGACGGCGACCUCUCGCGCC
Molecule: microRNA, 20 nt
Filed under: Spodoptera frugiperda (fall armyworm)
Lineage: Eukaryota; Metazoa; Arthropoda; Insecta; Lepidoptera; Noctuidae
Description: sfr-miR-10477-5p
Source: miRBase by way of RNAcentral